CUGGCUGUGGAGCCUUUGGUUGGGGGUUCGAUCCCCCACUGUACCUGGACUGGACAAUCUGUCGGGUCCCUUCCAGCUCCCCGGUUCCAAGAUAUACAGGAAUCAUCACUUUGUCCCAGGAAAUGGGAUAACAUUCCAGGCCAUCCUGCUUGUUGUUUCUCUGUUAGGAAUCUUGCUUGUUAAUAGUGUUGACUCUGGCACCCCCUGCUGCCGUCCCGGCGCUUAAUAUGGAUGCCAAGGAUGGGGCUUGUUUGUUUUCUGUAGAGGCAUCCAUCUUUCUCCCGGUUACCUCAGGCACAGAAUGUGGCAGGAUCUCCUCUCACCGGCCCAAAGGCUCAAAUUUUGGCCCCAACCCAGUUCCUGCCUCCAAAUGCAUUUCCUUCUUCGGGUGAAGCUCUGAGUGUCGGUGCCGGAACCGCAGGGUCGUUGGCUAUGCAGGCAGGAAUCUCACAGGGCCAGUUUCCUGGUGCAGCUGUUCCUCCCCUCAGACCACACUACGGCCGGCUCUCCGACCCUGCGCUUCCCGCCGCCGUUCCUUCGGCCAGCGUGCUCGUUCCUUGGCCCCAGGCUCCUCUCUGGUUUGCCGCUCCGCAGGCAGCGGUCGCUGCUGGUCAGACAGGACCGAAAUCCUUCGUUGGCAUGAUACCCAUCCCAGCAGCCGGCCUGGAUCCGGUUGUGGCAUGGACGCCAAGCGUGCUUUCCUUGAGGCAACCAAGAGAGAGAAACAGGGGCGUAAAUAGCAGCGCAGCUCAUGACCCCAGGGCGGUCUCCGCCUGCGCCAAUCCCGGGACUGUUUUGGCUCCUGUCAGCUCUGGACCCUUAGCCCAGGCCGGUAAGGCUUCCACGUGACUGAGUCACACAGACCUGGAAGCAGCAGUGGUUAAAACGAGGCCAAGUCCCUUCAGAAGAGAUCUUGAUUUGGUCUAGAGUGAUGGUUCUGGAUCUUCUUCGACUACAACUCCCAGAAAUCCUGGCCAAUACAGCGAAUGGUGAAGGCUUCUGGGAGUUUUAGUCCAAGGUUGGGAACCACAGAUCUAGAGUGACAGUACUCAGUUCAGUUUGUGCCCCCAAACUCAAGUCAGUUUUGGUAGCAGGGAAGGCUAAGUCCUCUCACUGCCUUACGUUGGAAAACUGAGAAAGGUAUCCCUUUUUUUUAAUUUUUUGCCGACUUCUUUCUGGAAACUUGAUGGACCUAAAUUUGGGAGUCAACCACCCCACCCCCAAAUUUUAUACCACUUUAACCCUUUUGGCACCUCAUCUGCUAAAGUAGACAUCUCAAACGACUGGGGAAACCAACCAAGUGCAACAGCCUUAGUUUAAUCGUUUUUUACUCUUAGAGAGAGUUUAUUUCUUUUGUUUGUUUGAUUUAUAGACUCCUCUUGCCU
RNAcentral lists this long non-coding RNA (1385 nucleotides) under Pogona vitticeps (central bearded dragon). Its description in RNAcentral is "lncRNA (ENSPVIG00000001122.1)". The record is from RNAcentral. Lineage: Eukaryota; Metazoa; Chordata; Lepidosauria; Squamata; Agamidae.